Oncorhynchus masou masou (cherry salmon) is the source of this 705-nucleotide long non-coding RNA. RefSeq lists it as uncharacterized. Lineage: Eukaryota; Metazoa; Chordata; Actinopteri; Salmoniformes; Salmonidae. The record is from RefSeq and is a predicted model, not a curated record. The transcript has 2 exons.
CAAAUGGAAACAAAUUUCCCAGCUGUCCUUUGACCGUGGACUCUGCAGGUGUAGAGACCGCCCGGAGACGUGGGUGUGGAGCUUAGUCAUGAAGAAUGCUGCAAUAACUAGAUUAAUAGGCUUUUAAUUGUAGACCGAUUGGAAUUCAAUCUUACGAUCGUCCAAACAAGCUGACGCAGACCGCCAGGCGCCAGUUCCGCGACGUCACCCAUUCAUGUCGUCCCUGACGGCUGUCAGCCCGGCGCCGCGCGGGCGGUGUCCAUGGAGACCUCAAACAACGGGGCUCACAAUCCCCCCAUUCACCUGCACAGCACAAACCCUGAGAACAAACUGUCUGCCCAAAAUCGUUAUUCAUUUAUCACGUUAAACCACUCAGUGAAGAGAUUACUGCCCCACACACCUGCAAACUGCCAUUGUCUCUAGUUUGCUCACAUAAGCUCCAAAGGCUUGUAAAAGAAAACAAGACAGAGGGCUUUGAAUGUAAAAUGACAGUUCCUGAAUUCCUUCAGUUAGGUACUCCCCUUCUUUUUUCAUAAGGAAAUUCCUCAAGUAAAACAUUGUAUAUUUUACACUGAUAUAAAACAACUUACAAUGUUGCAGUUUCAGUGCCUGUCUAUCUGGCUGUAAAUCCACCAGAAUUAGAUUUUAAUUCGUUUUUCUUUUUACUUAGUAAAUAGAUUCAAAUAAAUUUCGCAACUUGUAUAA